Long non-coding RNA from Cydia pomonella (codling moth), 1624 nucleotides. RefSeq lists it as uncharacterized. The transcript has 2 exons. Lineage: Eukaryota; Metazoa; Arthropoda; Insecta; Lepidoptera; Tortricidae. The record is from RefSeq and is a predicted model, not a curated record.
AGAGUAGUAGGGAUGUGUGCGUUCUGGCUCAGCUUUGGAGGGUCAAACAGUCCUGGUUUUGGUUGAUGACCUUUUUUUUAGCAGCCACACUGAGAACCUCAGGUGUUACUUGGUGUCAACAAGUGGGCGGGGUGUUGGUUCAAGGUGUCGCUCUCCUAUUGGUCGUUGCGGUCAUUAGUGGUUCUAAUUAGCUAAUGACAUUCCAUUAAUUAGGCCACACCUCCUAGUUGAAGUUAUCAAGUGGGCGGGGUCUUGGUUCUGGAUGGCGCUCUCCUAUUGGUCGUUGCUGUCAUUUAUGAUGCUCAUUCCUUAUUACAUCGUAAUUACAUAAUUCUCGAUGGGACUCUGCUAUUGGGUAGGUAAUUAAUGAUUCCCUAACUGCAUCCAUUAAUUAGGCGACAUUGCUCAUUUACGAGUAAACUGUUAUGAGCCUUUCAUAUAUUCUUAGACCAACCAACAGACGUUUCUCAGGGGUCACGGUUCUAACCUAACCUAACCUAUCAACAGCGCAUCACGGUUUAAACCUAACCUAACCUACCAACACACGUUUCUGUCUGCUCAGGGGUCACGGUUCUAGCCUAACCUAACCUAUCAACAGCGCAUCACGGUUUAAACCUAACCUAACCUACCAACAGACGUUUCUGUCUGCUCAGGGGUCACGGUUCUAACCUAACCUAACCUAUCAACAGCGGGUCACGGUUUAAACCUAACCAACCUGUCUCUAAUACCAUCGAAGUUCAAAUCAAACCUAACCUAAUUUUAUUAUUUUUAGAAUACUUCAAAUAUCUAGUUUUAUAAAUAUUCUCGUUCAUUACAAAGUUGAAUGUUGAAAUCUCUAUUUCACACAAUGGAAUUUUAAUGUGACUUUAAUGUAUGUAUAAUCUACUUAGUAAUUGAGCUUAUCAUAAUUGUUAGCCAAAUUCCAAUAACACGUAUUUAGAAGCAAAACAAGUUAUCAAUUAUCAAACAAGACUUUGUAUUGAAACAAGAUUUUUAAUGAUCAAGAGUUGUAUAUAUAAAGACCUACGACGAUUUCUUUUUUAUACUACUAUCGAUUGACCCACGCUGUACUCCUACACCAGAAGGCAUCAAUAUGUCGAACUCCCCAUCAAAUGUCUUCGACGGCCAAGACUAUACAUUUAAGCAGUACUAUUAUCCAGUGUCAGAUGCAGAGGACAGCCUAACUUGUGUACCAGACGAGCCGGUGAAGCGAAAAUUAAACACACACACUCAAAUAUCGAUGCAUUCUUUGACCAGCCAAAGAUAAAGAGGAAGAAAAACGUGUCUUCCACUGUAGGAAAAGGCUGUAAAGGGGGUGGUAUAUCAUAUAUAUCUACAAACAAAGACGAUGGUACGAAUUCGACACAUCUAAUCAAAAUAGAAAUAUUUGAUAUGAAAAAACUAUCCAAAGUUUCUGAUACAACUAAACACUGGAUGUUUGCGGAUGUGCGUGCAAAAUAUUUCGUGAUGGAAAAUGAAACAAAUAAGCACUUACAGCAAGCUAAAGAUCUCAUUUACGGAAUCACGAAGGAGAUUUCCGAAUCCGACGAGUGUAAAAAGUACCAUUUUAAUUCAAAAGUCUAAUCACUGUUGUCUAAUUGUGAAUAAAAAUAUAUAGUUUAUA